This 253-nucleotide ribosomal RNA is filed under the name uncultured bacterium. RNAcentral's name for it is "partial 16S ribosomal RNA". It matches the Rfam family "Bacterial small subunit ribosomal RNA", at positions 524 to 776 of the family's 1533-position model. The record is from RNAcentral.
UACGUAGGGGGCAAGCGUUGUCCGGAAUCAUUGGGCGUAAAGAGCGUGUAGGUGGCUCGGUAAGUCCGCUGUGAAAGUCCAGGGCUCAACCCUGGAACGCCGGUGGAAACUGUCGAGCUAGAGUCCGGAAGAGGCGAGUGGAAUUCCUGGUGUAGCGGUGAAAUGCGCAGAUAUCAGGAGGAACACCGAUGGCGAAGGCAGCUCGCUGGGACGGUGCUGACACUGAGACGCGAAAGCGUGGGGAGCAAACAGG